This 506-nucleotide ribosomal RNA is filed under the name uncultured bacterium. RNAcentral's name for it is "partial 16S ribosomal RNA". It matches the Rfam family "Bacterial small subunit ribosomal RNA", at positions 29 to 523 of the family's 1533-position model. The record is from RNAcentral.
AGUGAACGCUGGCGGUAGGCCUAACACAUGCAAGUCGAACGGCAGCACAGAGGAGCUUGCUCCUUGGGUGGCGAGUGGCGGACGGGUGGGGAAUACAUCGGAAUCUACUUUUUCGUGGGGGAUUACGUAGGGAAACUUACGCUAAUACCGCAUACGACCUACGGGUGAAAGCAGGGGACCUUCGGGCCUUGCGCGAUUGACUGAGCCGAUGUCGGAUUAGCUAGUUGGCGGGGUAAAGGCCCACCAAGGCGACGAACCGUAGCUGGUCUGAGAGGAUGAUCAGCCACACUGGAACUGAGACACGGUCCAGACUCCUACGGGAGGCAGCAGUGGGGAAUAUUGGACAAUGGGCGCAAGCCUGAUCCAGCCAUACCGCGUGGGUGAAGAAGGCCUUCGGGUUGUAAAGCCCUUUUGUUGGGAAAGAAAUCCAGCCGGCUAAUACCUGGUUGGGAUGACGGUACCCAAAGAAUAAGCACCGGCUAACUUCGUGCCAGCCGCCGCCGUAA